RNAcentral lists this ribosomal RNA (648 nucleotides) under Lapidilactobacillus dextrinicus. RNAcentral's name for it is "bacterial SSU rRNA". It matches the Rfam family "Bacterial small subunit ribosomal RNA", at positions 34 to 641 of the family's 1533-position model. Lineage: Bacteria; Bacillati; Bacillota; Bacilli; Lactobacillales; Lactobacillaceae. The record is from RNAcentral.
CGCUGGCGGCGUGCCUAAUACAUGCAAGUCGAACGAGUUUGCUUUUAAUGAAGGCGGUGCUUGCACCAACUGAUUUAAAAAUAAACGAGUGGCGGACGGGUGAGUAACACGUGGGUAACCUACCCUAAAGUGGGGGAUAACAUUUGGAAACAGAUGCUAAUACCGCAUAAUAUUAAAAACCACAUGGUUUUUAAUUGAAAGACGGCGUAAGCUGUCACUUUUGGAUGGACCCGCGGCGUAUUAGCUAGUUGGUGAGGUAACGGCUCACCAAGGCGAUGAUACGUAGCCGACCUGAGAGGGUGAUCGGCCACAUUGGGACUGAGACACGGCCCAAACUCCUACGGGAGGCAGCAGUAGGGAAUCUUCCACAAUGGACGAAAGUCUGAUGGAGCAACGCCGCGUGAGUGAAGAAGGUUUUCGGAUCGUAAAACUCUGUUAUUGGAGAAGAACGUAUUUGGUAGUAACUGGCCAGAUAGUGACGGUAUCCAAUCAGAAAGCCACGGCUAACUACGUGCCAGCAGCCGCGGUAAUACGUAGGUGGCAAGCGUUGUCCGGAUUUAUUGGGCGUAAAGCGAGUGCAGGCGGUUUUUUAAGUCUGAUGUGAAAGCCUUCGGCUUAACCGAAGAAAUGCAUUGGAAACUGGGAAAC